This 490-nucleotide ribosomal RNA is filed under the name uncultured bacterium. RNAcentral's name for it is "partial 16S ribosomal RNA". It matches the Rfam family "Bacterial small subunit ribosomal RNA", at positions 28 to 507 of the family's 1533-position model. The record is from RNAcentral.
GAUGAACGCUAGCUACAGGCUUAACACAUGCAAGUCGAGGGGCAGCAUGGUCUUAGCUUGCUAAGGCCGAUGGCGACCGGCGCACGGGUGAGUAACACGUAUCCAACCUGCCGUCUACUCUUGGACAGCCUUCUGAAAGGAAGAUUAAUACAAGAUGGCAUCAUGAGUCCGCAUGUUCACAUGAUUAAAGGUAUUCCGGUAGACGAUGGGGAUGCGUUCCAUUAGAUAGUAGGCGGGGUAACGGCCCACCUAGUCUUCGAUGGAUAGGGGUUCUGAGAGGAAGGUCCCCCACAUUGGAACUGAGACACGGUCCAAACUCCUACGGGAGGCAGCAGUGUGGAAUAUUGGUCAAUGGGCGCAGGCCUGAACCAGCCAAGUAGCGUGAAGUAUGACUGCCCUAUGGGUUGUAAACUUCUUUUAUAAAGGAAUAAAGUCGGGUAUGUAUACCCGUUUGCAUGUACUUUAUGAAUAAGGAUCGGCUAACUCCGUG